This 329-nucleotide ribosomal RNA is filed under the name uncultured eukaryote. RNAcentral describes it as "partial 18S ribosomal RNA". It matches the Rfam family "Eukaryotic small subunit ribosomal RNA", at positions 1470 to 1796 of the family's 1831-position model. The record is from RNAcentral.
CCCUUAGAUGUUCUGGGCUGCACACGUGCUACACUGGCAGGUUCAGCGAGCUUCAUGCCCUGAUCUGAAAGGAAUGGGAAAUCUUUUCAAAACCUGCCGUGCUUGGGAUAGAUGUUUGCAAUUAUUCAUCUUCAACGAGGAUUGCCUUGUAAGCGCACGUCAUCAGCGUGCAUUGAAUACGACCCUGUAUUCUGUACACACCGCCCGUCGCACCUACCGAUUGGAUGGUCCGGUGAAGCCUCGGGAUUGUGGUUCUUGCCGCUUUAUUGUGGCGUGACCGCGAGAACUUGUCUAAACCUUAUCAUCUAGAGGAAGGUGAAGUCGUAACA